AGCGAACGUUAGCGGCAGGCUUAACACAUGCAAGUCGAGCGGUAAGGCCCUUUCGGGGGUACACGAGCGGCGAACGGGUGAGUAACACGUGGGUGACCUGCCUUCAGCUCUGGGAUAAGCCUGGGAAACUGGGUCUAAUACCGGAUAUGACUCCAUGAUGCAUGUUGUGGGGUGGAAAGCUUUUGCGGCUGGAGAUGGGCCCGCGGCCUAUCAGCUUGUUGGUGGGGUGAUGGCCUACCAAGGCGA
RNAcentral lists this ribosomal RNA (246 nucleotides) under uncultured Actinomycetes bacterium. RNAcentral's name for it is "uncultured actinobacterium partial 16S ribosomal RNA". It matches the Rfam family "Bacterial small subunit ribosomal RNA", at positions 29 to 276 of the family's 1533-position model. Lineage: Bacteria; Bacillati; Actinomycetota; Actinomycetes. The record is from RNAcentral.